GACGAACGCUGGCGGCGUGCUUAACACAUGCAAGUCGAGCGGAAAGGCCACUUCGGUGGUCCUAGAGAGGCGAACGGGUGAGUAAAACGUGAGUAAUCUGCCCCUCACUUUGGGAUAGACACCGGAAACGGUGAUUAAUACCGGAUAUGACCAUAUGUCGCAUGGUGUGUGGUGGAAAGUUUUUCGGUGUGGGAGGUGCUCGUGGCCUCUCAGAUGGGUGUGGUGGUGAUGGGGCCCCAUGGCUUCGACGGGUAGACGGCCUGGGAGGGGGGGGGGUCACACAGGGGAUGGGACACGGCCCAUACCCCUACGGGGGGCAAGAGGGGGGAAUAUUGGACAAUGGGCGGAAACCUGAUCCAGCAACGCCGCGUGAGGGAUGACAGCCUUCGGGUUGGAAACCUCUUUCAGUACCGACGAAGCGAAAGGAAGGGUAGGGACAGAGGAAGCACCGCCCAACUACGU
Molecule: ribosomal RNA, 462 nt
Filed under: uncultured bacterium
Lineage: Bacteria
Description: partial 16S ribosomal RNA
Rfam family: Bacterial small subunit ribosomal RNA
Source: RNAcentral